RNAcentral lists this long non-coding RNA (428 nucleotides) under Gadus morhua (Atlantic cod). Its description in RNAcentral is "lncRNA (ENSGMOG00000031347.1)". Lineage: Eukaryota; Metazoa; Chordata; Actinopteri; Gadiformes; Gadidae. The record is from RNAcentral.
AAGAAGUAAACUAACCAGUGUGUCACCAGAUAUAAACGGCUGUCCCUUCAACUCAGUGUUCCGUAGCACAGUGAUUCUGUUUCCUUUGUUCCAGUGCCCGCCACCAAAGUCCUGUCUGUGUGACAAGGGGGAAAGGGGGCACCCUGGCAGCCCGGGCAAGGCGGGCGAGCGGGGGUCCGACGGAGCCCCGGGUCCCCAAGGGCCGCACGUACGUGUCCCUGUGAUCUUUCCUCUUUAUUAUCGCCCCCGUAAGCCCGGUGUUGGUGUUGUAGGUAAAGCCCCCCCACACACACACACACUGACCUGUGUUCCUCUGGUGCACGCAGGGGGAGUCCGGCAUCAAUGGGCGCCCAGGAAUGGACGGCAUUCAGGUGAGGAGAUCUAAAACUUCCACCAGCGCUGUUGAUACACGGAGCAACCGCCCGUCA